GAGUUUGAUCCUGGCUCAGGAUGAACGCUAGCUACAGGCUUAACACAUGCAAGUCGAGGGGCAGCAUCGCGAUAGCUUGCUAUUGCGGAUGGCGACCGGCGCACGGGUGAGUAACGCGUAUCCAACCUUCCCGCAACUGGGGAAUAACCUUGCGAAAGUAAGACUAAUACCCCAUGGUCUCCACGGAUGGCAUCUGAAAUGGAGUAAAGGUUUCGGCCGGUUGCGGAUGGGGAUGCGUCCGAUUAGCUUGACGGCGGGGUAACGGCCCACCGUGGCAUCGAUCGGUAGGGGUUCUGAGAGGAAGGUCCCCCACAUUGGAACUGAGACACGGUCCAAACUCCUACGGGAGGCAGCAGUGAGGAAUAUUGGUCAAUGGGCGGAAGCCUGAACCAGCCAAGUAGCGUGAAGGACGACUGCCCUAUGGGUUGUAAACUUCUUUUAUGCGGGGAUAAAGUUCGCUACGUGUGGCGUUUUGCAGGUACCGCAUGAAUAAGGACCGGCUAAUUCCGUGCCAGCAGCCGCGGUAAUACGGAAGGUCCAGGCGUUAUCCGGAUUCAUUGGGUUUAAAGGGAGCGUAGGCCGCCUUUUAAGCGUGUCGUGAAAUGUAGGGGCUCAACCCCUGCACUGCAGCGCGAACUGGAGGGCUGAGUACACACAAAGUACGCGGAAUUCAUGGUGUAGCGGUGAAAUGCUUAGAUAUCAUGAAGAACCCCGAUGCGAAGGCAGCUUUACUGGAGUGUAACUGACGCUGAAGCUCGAAAGCGCGGGUAUCGAACAGGAUUAGAUGCCCUGGUAGUCCGCGCGGUAAACGAUGGAUGCCCGCUGUUUGCCACUUUGGUAAGCGGCCAAGCGAAAGCGUUAAGCAUCCCACCUGGGGAGUACGCCGGCAACGGUGAAACUCAAAGGAAUUGACGGGGGCCCGCACAAGCGGAGGAACAUGUGGUUUAAUUCGAUGAUACGCGAGGAACCUUACCCGGGCUUGAAUUGCAGGAGAACGAUCCAGAGAUGGUGAGGCCCUUCGGGGCUCCUGUGAAGGUGCUGCAUGGUUGUCGUCAGCUCGUGCCGUGAGGUGUCGGCUUAAGUGCCAUAACGAGCGCAACCCCUCUCCGUAGUUGCCAUCGGGUGAAGCCGGGCACUCUGCGGAUACUGCCACCGUAAGGUGUGAGGAAGGUGGGGAUGACGUCAAAUCAGCACGGCCCUUACGUCCGGGGCUACACACGUGUUACAAUGGGGCAUACAGAAAGCAGGCGGCCGGCAACGUCCGUCUAAUCAUCAAAGUGUCCCUCAGUUCGGACUGGGGUCUGCAACCCGACCCCACGAAGCUGGAUUCGCUAGUAAUCGCGCAUCAGCCAUGGCGCGGUGAAUACGUUCCCGGGCCUUGUACACACCGCCCGUC
This 1396-nucleotide ribosomal RNA is filed under the name uncultured bacterium. RNAcentral's name for it is "bacterial SSU rRNA". It matches the Rfam family "Bacterial small subunit ribosomal RNA". The record is from RNAcentral.